Long non-coding RNA from Zea mays, 770 nucleotides. RefSeq lists it as uncharacterized. The transcript is spliced from 2 exons. Lineage: Eukaryota; Viridiplantae; Streptophyta; Magnoliopsida; Poales; Poaceae. The record is from RefSeq and is a predicted model, not a curated record.
GGACCAGCUUGGAUUGGAGCACAGGCCAACAGUGUUGUAUAGACAACAUGAGCCGUAUACUCAGUGUCGCUGUGAUCUCAAGUAUGGGCCUGUUGUGGCUACGAACCCACCAAGCCAAGUUCGUGUAGAUGGGCUGUGGACUGUGGUAGCGGCGCAAUAGGAGAACAGCAACGCACCAGCGGGGGCUGUGGACUGUGGUAGCGGCACCGGUCUGCAAGCACACGGCGGCACCAGCCGUGACCGGCGCGGCGGGGGGCUCCGUCGCCUCCCUGCUCACCUUUGCCAUGCUCCGCGCGCGACCGCCUCCGUCGCUGGCUUGUGUCUUCGUUACCUGUGUCUCUCCGCUUCACGCAGCCGUUGCGCUCUCCCAGCACGCGCGCCGCCGGCGCCCGGAGCCUUGCCUGCGAUGGCGUGCGUUUGCCACCAUGAUGCGCGCUCCGCGUUGGCGCAAGAUGACCCUACAGAGAGCUCGUCACAAGCCAGUGACUGCACUGGUGCAACGCAGUUUCAGAAUUUGGAGCCAAAAGAGCUGUUUUGACGUUGAUCGUACUGCACUAUGAUGACAUAGAGUGUCAAACAUUUCAAGUAUGGACUUAUGUUCUGUGUACUCCAAAUGGUGAGCAACAUAAUUUAGGUUAUGAGGACUUAAAGUUACAUAUAACUGGUUUCCCUGGAGACAUGUUGUUACAUUACACCAUGUUCUUUUUAAUUUGUAUGCAGCGAUAUGUAGCAUGGAUAGUAACGCAGCGGAAUUUACAAAACGUCAAGUA